ACACCGCACACCUCAUGGGAGGGCCCACGUCUACACCACAUGCCUCAUCACUCACGGGAGGGCCGGCGUCUACACCAUACGCCUCAUCCCUCAUGGGAGGGCCCGCGUCUACACUGCACACCUCAUGGGAGGGCCCGCGUCUACACCACAUGCCUCAUCCCUCACGGGAGGGCCGGCGUCUACACCGCACACCUCAUCGCUCACGGGAGGGUCCGCGUCUGCAGCGUCCACACCGCACACCUCACGGGAGGGCCGGCGUCUACACCGCGCGCCUCGUGUCUUCCCACCCGCAGGACGUGGUGAACACGCACCCGGGGCUGUCGUUCCUGAAGGAGGCGUCCGAGUUUCACUCGCGCUACAUCACCACGGUCAUCCAGCGGAUCUUCUACGCGGUGAACCGGUCCUGGUCCGGCAGGAACCUGUGCCGAGCUGCGGAGGAGCUCCUUCUGCAGAAUGUGGCGCUGCUGGAGGAGGAGGCGGACAUCAACCAGCUGACCGAAUUCUUCUCGUACGAGCAUUUCUACGUCAUCUACUGCAAGUUCUGGGAGCUGGACACGAACCACGACCUGCUUAUCGAUGCGGACGACCUGGCGCGGCACAAUGACCACGCCAUUUCUACCAAGAUGAUCGACAGGAUCUUCUCAGGAGCAGUCACACGAGGCAGAAAAGUGCAGAAGGAAGGGAAGAUCAGCUAUGCCGACUUUGUCUGGUUUUUGAUCUCUGAGGAAGACAAAAAAACACCGACCAGCAUCGAGUACUGGUUCCGCUGCAUGGACCUGGACGGGGACGGCGCCCUGUCCAUGUUCCAGCUCGAGUACUUCUAUGAGGAGCAGUGCCGAAGGCUGGACAGCAUGGCCAUCGAGGCCCUGCCCUUCCAGGACUGCCUCUGCCAGAUGCUGGACCUGGUCAAGCCGAGGACUGAAGGGAAGAUCAUGCUGCAGGACCUGAAGCGCUGCAAGCUGGCCAACGUCUUCUUCGACACUUUCUUCAACAUCGAGAAGUACCUCGACCACGAGCAGAAAGAGCAGAUCUCCCUGCUCAGGGACGGUGACAGCGGCGGCCCCGAGCUCUCGGACUGGGGAAGUACGCGGCUGAGGAGUACGACAUCCUGGUGGCCGAGGAGACCGCGGAAGAGCGCUGGGAGGACGGCAGACCCCACGUUAGCUGAAAUGGGAAAAAACUUGAAGGAGGCAGUGAAGAUGCUGGAGGACAGUCAGAGAAGAACAGAAGAGGAAAAUGGAAAGAAGCUCAUAUCCAGAGAUAUUCCAGGCCCACUCCAGGGCAGUGGACAAGAUAUGGUGAGCAUCCUCCAGUUAGUUCAGAAUCUGAUGCAUGGAGAUGAAGAUGAGGAGCCCCAGAGCCCCAGAAUCCAAAAUAUUGGAGAACAAGGUCAUGUGGCUUUGUUGGGACAUAGUCUGGGAGCUUAUAUUUCAACUCUGGACAAAGAGAAGCUGAGAAAACUUACAACUAGGAUACUUUCAGAUACCACCUUAUGCCUAUGCAGAAUUUUCAGAUAUGAAAAUGGGUGUGCUUAUUUCCAUGAAGAGGAAAGAGAAGGACUUGCAAAGAUAUGUAGGCUUGCCAUUCAUUCUCGAUAUGAAGACUUCGUGGUGGAUGGCUUCAGUGUGUUAUAUAACAAGAAGCCUGUCAUAUAUCUUAGUGCUGCUGCUAGACCUGGCCUGGGCCAAUACCUUUGUAAUCAGCUCGGCUUGCCCUUCCCCUGCUUGUGCCGUGUACCCUGUAACACUAUGUUUGGAUCCCAGCAUCAGAUGGAUGUUGCCUUCCUGGAGAAACUGAUUAAAGAUGAUAUAGAGCGAGGAAGACUGCCCCUGUUGCUUGUCGCAAAUGCAGGAACGGCAGCAGUAGGACACACAGACAAGAUUGGGAGAUUGAAAGAACUCUGUGAGCAGUAUGGCAUAUGGCUUCAUGUGGAGGGUGUGAAUCUGGCAACAUUGGCUCUGGGUUAUGUCUCCUCAUCAGUGCUGGCUGCAGCCAAAUGUGAUAGCAUGACGAUGACUCCUGGCCCGUGGCUGGGUUUGCCAGCUGUUCCUGCGGUGACACUGUAUAAACACGAUGACCCUGCCUUGACUUUAGUUGCUGGUCUUAUAUCAAAUAAGCCCACAGACAAACUCCGUGCCCUGCCUCUGUGGUUAUCUUUACAAUACUUGGGACUUGAUGGGUUUGUGGAGAGGAUCAAGCAUGCCUGUCAACUGAGUCAAUGGUUGCAGGAAAGUUUGAAGAAAGUGAAUUACAUCAAAAUCUUGGUGGAAGGUGAGCUCAGCUCCCCAGUGGUGGUGUUCAGAUUUUUCCAAGAAUUACCAGGCUCAGAUCCGGUGUUUAAAGCCGUCCCAGUGCCCAACAUGACACCUUCAGCAGUCGGCCGGGAGAGGCACUCGUGUGAUGCGCUGAAUCGCUGGCUGGGAGAACAACUGAAGCAGCUGGUGCCUGCGAGCAGCCUCACAGUCAUGGAUCUGGAAGCUGUGGGCAUGUGUUUGCGAUUCAGCCUUUUGAUGACCGCAGCAGGUAUGAUCUCGUGAAACCUUGAGAGAAACUGAAUGACGAAUGAAACUAUUGUUCCUGUUUCACACAGAAGAAAACUGAGGUUAAAAGGGGUUGGCACUCAUGAUGAGCCCCUGUUCUCAUUCUGCAAAUGGUGAAGCUCUCUAUUGUCCUGACCCCACAGUUCCUGUCCCAUGACCAGGGCCCGCUCACCAAGGAGCUGCAGCAGCACGUAAAGUCAGUGACAUGCCCAUGCGAGUACCUGAGGAAGGUGAGUGAGUGCAGACAGAUGGGGCCUGGUGCCCUUGAGCAGUUCCCGGGUCUCAGCUGCCACACAUCUCAUAGCGGGUGAUGCUGGGGGAAGCUUACGCAGUCACAGUACUGGCUUCUUCCUCUUUUUCUUUCCAUACAAGUGGCUUAGGGAUGGGGUAGAGUAGUUGACUUAUUUGGAUGAAAACCACUUAUCUUCUGUCAGAAACUCAAAAGGAAUCAUUGCUGGCAUGGUAACCUAAAGAAAAACAACCAGACAAGUGCCCAACGACACUUAAAAAGGUUAUUUAUUAUCUUGCCAAGUUUAGGCUGGGCAUGGUGACUCAUGCCUGUAAUCCCAGCAUUUUGGGAGGCUGAGGCUGGUGGAUCACCUGAGGCCAGGACUUCGAGACCCGCCUGACCAAUAUGGCAAAACCUCGUCCCUACUAAAAAUACAAAAAUUAGCCGGGCAUGGUGGUGUGAGCCUGUAGUCCCAGCUACUCAGGAGGCUGAGACAGGAGAAUUGCUUAGAUUCAGGAGGUGGAGGUUUUAGUGGGCCGAGAUCACGCCAUUGCACUCCACACUGUGCGACAGAGCGAGACUCUGUCAAAAAAAAAAAAAAAAAAAAAAUUAUCCUGCAAAAUUUGAAAAGGAAAUUCAAA
RNA transcript from Pan troglodytes (chimpanzee), 3410 nucleotides. It is a transcript of the gene named putative pyridoxal-dependent decarboxylase domain-containing protein 2, with no coding region annotated. NCBI's taxonomy places the organism in Eukaryota, Metazoa, Chordata, Mammalia, Primates, Hominidae. The transcript is spliced from 25 exons. The record is from RefSeq and is a predicted model, not a curated record.